GACGAACGCUGGCGGCGUGCUUAACACAUGCCAGUCGAACGGAAAGGCCCUGCUUUUGUGGGGUGCUCGAGUGGCGAACGGGUGAGUAACGCGUGAGUAACCUGCCCUUGACUUUGGGAUAACUUCAGGAAACUGGGGCUAAUACCGGAUAGGAGCUCCUGCUGCAUGGUGGGGGUUGGAAAGUUUCGGCGGUUGGGGAUGGACUCGCGGCUUAUCAGCUUGUUGGUGGGGUAGUGGCUUACCAAGGCUUUGACGGGUAGCCGGCCUGAGUGGGUGACCGGCCACAUUGGGACUGAGAUACGGCCCAGACUCCUACGGGAGGCAGCAGUGGGGAAUAUUGCACAAUGGGCGGAAGCCUGAUGCAGCAACGCCGCGUGCGGGAUGACGGCCUUCGGGUUGUAAACCGCUUUCGCCUGUGACGAAGCCUGAGUGACGGUAAUGGGUAAAGAAGCACCGGCUAACUACGUG
This 468-nucleotide ribosomal RNA is filed under the name uncultured bacterium. RNAcentral's name for it is "partial 16S ribosomal RNA". It matches the Rfam family "Bacterial small subunit ribosomal RNA", at positions 28 to 507 of the family's 1533-position model. The record is from RNAcentral.